Molecule: ribosomal RNA, 253 nt
Filed under: uncultured bacterium
Lineage: Bacteria
Description: partial 16S ribosomal RNA
Rfam family: Bacterial small subunit ribosomal RNA
Source: RNAcentral
UACGUAGGGGGCAAGCGUUGUCCGGAUUUAUUGGGCGUAAAGAGCGUGUAGGCGGCCAAGCAGGUCCGCUGUGAAAACUCGAGGCUCAACCUCGAGACGUCGGUGGAAACCGUUUGGCUAGAGUCCGGAAGAGGAGAGUGGAAUUCCUGGUGUAGCGGUGAAAUGCGCAGAUAUCAGGAAGAACACCCGUGGCUAAGGCGGCUCUCUAGUACGGUACUGACGCUGAGACGCGAAAGCGUGGGGAGCGAACAGG